Molecule: long non-coding RNA, 97 nt
Organism: Notothenia coriiceps (black rockcod)
Lineage: Eukaryota; Metazoa; Chordata; Actinopteri; Perciformes; Nototheniidae
Exons: 4
Source: RefSeq, a predicted model, not a curated record
UCUCCUGAUGAGAGUCUAGUGUUGCUUCAACAUACUGUACCUUCUUCCCGUUAGCCUCUGCUCCUCCGUUAUGAUGCACCGACGUAACACGAGUCUG